RNAcentral lists this ribosomal RNA (490 nucleotides) under uncultured bacterium. Its description in RNAcentral is "partial 16S ribosomal RNA". It matches the Rfam family "Bacterial small subunit ribosomal RNA", at positions 30 to 507 of the family's 1533-position model. The record is from RNAcentral.
AUUGAACGCUGGCGGCAGGCCUAACACAUGCAAGUCGAACGGUAACAGGAAGAAGCUUGCUUCUUUGCUGACGAGUGGCGGACGGGUGAGUAAUGUCUGGGAAACUGCCUGAUGGAGGGGGAUAACUACUGGAAACGGUAGCUAAUACCGCAUAACGUCGCAAGACCAAGGAGGGGGACCUUCGGGCCUCUUGCCAUCGGAUGUGCCCAGAUGGGAUUAGCUAGUAGGUGGGGUAACGGCUCACCUAGGCGACGAUCCCUAGCUGGUCUGAGAGGAUGACCAGCCACACUGGAACUGAGACACGGUCCAGACUCCUACGGGAGGCAGCAGUGGGGAAUAUUGCACAAUGGGCGCAAGCCUGAUGCAGCCAUGCCGCGUGUAUGAAGAAGGCCUUCGGGUUGUAAAGUACUUUCAGAGGGGAGGAAGGGAGUAAAGUUAAUACCUUUGCUCAUUGACGUUACCCGCAGAAGAAGCACCGGCUAACUCCGUG